GUAGGGAAUAUUGGACAAUGGGCGCAAGCCUGAUCCAGCCAUACCGCGUGGGUGAAGAAGGCCUUCGGGUUGUAAAGCCCUUUUGUUGGGAAAGAAAUCCUAUCGAUUAAUACUCGGUGGGGAUGACGGUACCCAAAGAAUAAGCACCGGCUAACUUCGUGCCAGCAGCCGCGGUAAUACGAAGGGUGCAAGCGUUACUCGGAAUUACUGGGCGUAAAGCGUGCGUAGGUGGUUGUUUAAGUCUGCUGUGAAAGCCCUGGGCUCAACCUGGGAAUUGCAGUGGAUACUGGGCAACUAGAGUGUGGUAGAGGGAUGCGGAAUUUCUGGUGUAGCAGUGAAAUGCGUAGAGAUCAGAAGGAACAUCCGUGGCGAAGGCGGCAUCCUGGGCCAACACUGACACUGAGGCACGAAAGCGUGGGGAGCAAACAGGAUUAGAAACCCGGGUAGUCC
This 450-nucleotide ribosomal RNA is filed under the name uncultured bacterium. RNAcentral's name for it is "partial 16S ribosomal RNA". It matches the Rfam family "Bacterial small subunit ribosomal RNA", at positions 354 to 796 of the family's 1533-position model. The record is from RNAcentral.